UAAAAUCUUCAAAAGUUGAUUGGUUAAGGGAUUUUUCAAAUUUAAAUGGUUGAUUGGUUAAAAGAUUUUUUUUUUAAUUUAAAUCGUUGAUUGGUUGAGAGAUUUUUUUUGUUUUUUCAAAUUUAAAUGGCCGAUAAUUGGUUGCUUUUUUAUGCGCGAUGAAUUUAUUAUUUUUGAACGAAAAUCGCUGGAUAAAAGAUUUAAAACUAAAUUAAUUUUAUAAGGUGGAAUGUGUAUUUAUAAAACUGUGGUAUACGCUUUGGUAAACUGAACGGUACGAGAAUAAAAGCAGUUUUUCGGUAAAAAUUCGUUCCUGUCAAUAAAUCAUUAUUCGGUAGAGAAGUGUUUUAAUCCUUUACCCGAGAAAACGUUCAUUAAACACUCCAGUGAUAAUUUUCUCCGAUAUCUCAUAUUGCCAACGGACAAAAGAGAUACCAGAUUAUUAAGAAAUGUAUCUUAACAACAAGCUGUCAAGGUUAAAUUUAAUUUCCCAAGUUACUUCAAUCAAUACAUGCCACUGUUUACUCAAUACAUUGAUUUUUGUAGCUCGAAGCGUAAUAUUGAGCCCCCUUUUGCUGCUUUCAAGUAUUAUGAAAUGCAUAUCCUUUACACGAUUUUAUUACAUUUUGACUGUAAACGGUUUUCGCCUUUUCACCAUCUCUUUGCCUUCAUUAAUACUUAAGGAAUAAUACCCAAAAGCUUUAUAAAAAUUCCUUCCUUUUCAUUAUAUGUAGAUUUUCUCUUAGACUGCAGUCAAUAUUUAUGGAUUUUAAUAUUUAUGAGGCCUUAUAUUAAUUUUUGGGAUUUUUACAAAAAUUCGAAGCUUAAAGCUGGAGUCUAAAAAUGCUUAUAUGUCGUAUAGGUGGAAGGCUAAAAAUUGUUUUUUAUCGCUCACACUCUCCAGAAGAGAAGUCGCCUUGCUAAAACAGCCGAAUUUUUGCCGUUUUUUUUUUGUUUCGGAAUUUUAUAUUUGCAUAACGCCUUAGCUUAUAUUAAUUUCGGCAUUUUUGACUUUCGUGUUUUGCUAUUUAAAAAUUUAUUUCUACUGCGAUAAGUUUAACGAAAUUUCGGACGAAUCUAAUAAUAUAAUUUCGACGAUAGGAAAGUUAAAGAAAAAAUAAAGAAAACUGUGCC
This 1134-nucleotide long non-coding RNA is filed under the name Androctonus crassicauda. The record is from RNAcentral. Lineage: Eukaryota; Metazoa; Arthropoda; Arachnida; Scorpiones; Buthidae.